UGCUAUCACUUAUAGAUGGACCUGCGCCGUAUUAGCUAGUUGGUAAGGUAACGGCUUACCAAGGCAACGAUACGUAGCCGACCUGAGAGGGUGAUCGGCCACACUGGAACUGAGACACGGUCAAGACUAAUACGGGAGGCAGCAGUAGGGAAUCUUCCGCAAUGGGCGAAAGCCUGACGGAGCAACGCCGCGUGAGUGAUGAAGGUCUUCGGAUCGUAAAACUCUGUUAUUAGGGAAGAACAAACGUGUAAGUAACUGUGCACGUCUUGACGGUACCUAAUCAGAAAGCCACGGCUAACUACGUGCCAGCAGCCGCGGUAAUACGUAGGUGGCAAGCGUUAUCCGGAAUUAUUGGGCGUAAAGCGCGCGUAGGCGGUUUUUUAAGUCUGAUGUGAAAGCCCACGGCUCAACCGUGGAGGGCAUUGGAAACUGGAAAACUUGAGUGCAGAAGAGGAAAGUGGAUUCCAUGUGUAGCGGUGAAAUGCGCAGAGAUAUGGAGGAACACCAGUGGCGAAGCGACUUUCUGGUCUGUACUGACGCUGAUGUGCG
RNAcentral lists this ribosomal RNA (549 nucleotides) under Staphylococcus sp. B10_74. RNAcentral describes it as "bacterial SSU rRNA". It matches the Rfam family "Bacterial small subunit ribosomal RNA", at positions 210 to 755 of the family's 1533-position model. The record is from RNAcentral. Lineage: Bacteria; Bacillati; Bacillota; Bacilli; Caryophanales; Staphylococcaceae.